Molecule: long non-coding RNA, 235 nt
Organism: Xenopus laevis (African clawed frog)
Lineage: Eukaryota; Metazoa; Chordata; Amphibia; Anura; Pipidae
Exons: 3
Source: RefSeq, a predicted model, not a curated record
AUUCAAAUGAAGAAAAAGAGUUCUCAGACAACCAGCCAGUGGAAGGAGACUCAAUGAAACUAUGAUUAAAAGGAAGCUCUGCAUCGUGAUUCAGCCAUCUGACCUUUCACCAGACACUGCACAAUAUGUCAAGGACGAACAUAAACAACACAGAUCUGUGCAAACUGGCCAGAAAAUAAUCUUUGGAUUUGUCUAUGUAGGUCUUUCCAGCUGACAAGAGGGCACCCAUUCCGAU